Molecule: non-coding RNA, 440 nt
Organism: Cinara cedri
Lineage: Eukaryota; Metazoa; Arthropoda; Insecta; Hemiptera; Aphididae
Source: the annotation of a GenBank genome assembly
UCAAAUAAACGACGAUGGAAAUAAUUGAUUGGAAAUGUAUCGGAUAUAAUAAUACAUUAAUGUAUCGUACGUACACGAUUUGUAUUUACUUUUCGACGUGAUCGUAAAUUCGUGACGAUAUUGUUUCACGCGGAAUCGUCCCACCCGCUCGCCGCCGAGGGGAUGUUUUCAAUACCUAUACGCGUUUUAGGAGCAUAAAACCUAAUUGGUUUUCGCGUUCAGACGGAUUAUUCUCGAAAAACCGAUCGCCGAUGGUAUGUAAAUAAAAGAGCAACGGAUUAAUUUUUUAUUAUAAUUAUUUAUCAAUUAAUCAAAAUGUAUAUUUUCCGCGGCCCGUCCGCCAGCGCACUCGAAUAAAACUUUGCGUCGGGGAACGUCUUUAAAGUUUCGCCCGGUCGUUUUUUUUCGUAUAAUAGUUUUAAGACCCGAGAAGACGAUAU